RNAcentral lists this ribosomal RNA (30 nucleotides) under Clusia uvitana. Its description in RNAcentral is "partial 18S ribosomal RNA". The record is from RNAcentral. Lineage: Eukaryota; Viridiplantae; Streptophyta; Magnoliopsida; Malpighiales; Clusiaceae.
CCGUAGGUGAACCUGCGGAAGGAUCAUUGC